RNAcentral lists this long non-coding RNA (593 nucleotides) under Monodelphis domestica (gray short-tailed opossum). RNAcentral describes it as "lncRNA (ENSMODG00000034261.2)". Lineage: Eukaryota; Metazoa; Chordata; Mammalia; Didelphimorphia; Didelphidae. The record is from RNAcentral.
AUCCCUGCAGAAUGUUCAGCGACAUUACACCGCCACUAAUGGAGAAUUAUGUGGAUGGUUUUCCUAAUGUUGAACCAGCCCUGCAUCCCUGGUAAAAAAUAAUAGUUAGCACAUAGGUGGCCAAAUCGCCUGAAUAUGGAAUCUUAGUAACCUGCAGAAUACCUCCUCCUGUCAAAGAGUAUUCAAAGAACAAGAAGACUCUGGAUUCAAUUCUCAGCUCUGCCAUUCACCCCUUAUGAAUUAGGAUGUAUGGAGGGUUCAGGGAGGACUAGUAUCUCUGAUUUCUUUCUCUGGAUGUGGAUAGCGCUCUUUUUCAGAAGUCCUUUGGAAUUGCCUUGGAUCAUUGCACUGCUGUUAGUAGAGAAGUCCAUUACAUUUGAUUGUUCCACAGUGUAUCAGUCUCUGUGUAUAAUGGUCUCCUGGUUCUUCUCCUUUCACUGCAUCAAUUCCUGGAGGUUGUUCCAGUUCACAUGGAAUUCCUCCAGUGCAUUAUUUCUUUGAGCACAAUAGUAUUCCAAAGUUAUUAUUUAUUAUAUUUUUUCUCUUUCUUUAGGAAAAAUAAAAUAGGUGGGGAAUUAAAUAAAGUUAUUUUC